Molecule: long non-coding RNA, 6157 nt
Filed under: Sorghum bicolor (sorghum)
Lineage: Eukaryota; Viridiplantae; Streptophyta; Magnoliopsida; Poales; Poaceae
Description: long non-coding RNA (SBIC_LNC004305)
Source: RNAcentral
AAAUAAAUAAAGUGGCUAUGCUAAUUUGAAUCUUAAUAAUAAAACUCUAGCAUGGAUAUGAUGAAUAGUUGCUCUACCUAAUUUGCAAAUUUGAAGUUCUCUCUCAAGUUUAGACAUAACUGUUAUAAUUUAAAGCUUGCUCUAGAUCUAAACUUGUGGGAUGAAACCUUGAUCUGAAAUCUAAGUUGUUAACGGAUAUGAUAUGGGAAGGUUGAGCUGUUGUUUAUCUGUUCCUAGAGAUGCUAGAAUUUUGGAGAAUUUUAUCUUUGAAAAAAAUAUUUAAAAUAUUGCAUGAUGAGUUCCUGUAUGAUGAGAGUUUAAAUUCCUACCAUAGCCAUAUAUACAUGCUUGCUAGACUUUGAGCCACACAUUUAUUAUUUACUGCUUAUGAGCAUUGAGUGUGGUCAAGCUGUGUAGACCCUUAGGAGCUUGUCAUGUGGUUAAAAUCAAGAUUCACUUGCACGUUCAUUCAUACAUGCUGCUUCUACUCCGGAAGUACCAUCCACAUAUAUCCACUUAUUUCCAUCUCCAGAACCACCCAAAAAUAUUCUACUCCUAAUCCGGGAGAGAAUAGCCAGAAAUAUUUUUGUUUUCCCUUGUGAAAUAAAUGCUCAAGUUAUCUUGCUACUACCACUUUCUAUAUUAUCUCAAGAGAUGAGUGCUCUAAAAAAAGAGAGAGAAAAGAAGAAAAAAAAUAAUAAACGAGGAAAUAAAAAGGGGCAAGUGCCCGGAACCUCGAAAGAAAAAAAAAGAGUGAGACGAGAGGUAAAAAUGGACAAGUGUCUGACAGUAGAAUUAGGGGUACAAGAUACCCACCUGAGAGGAAAGAAAAAUGAAAUAUAGAGCAUCUCAUUCUCCUCGUAAAGUUUCAAAAAGCAAGGAAGGUAUGUAUCCCCUCAAAAGAGCAAAAGUAGAAUUAGACUUCCACCAUUGUUAUCACCAUCAUCACCAUACACCAUUCAUUCGCCACACAUGCACAUCUUGAUUUGACUUAUUGACUUGUUUCUCUGGAUCCAUGGUUUGACUAUGCAAUAAAUGUCUUGUAAGUAUGUAUUAGCUGUCUCCCAUCUAUGAGCUCUAGAUAUUAAAGCCUUAUUAGAGUAGGGUGAGAGAGAAGGCAAUGUCACUGUGCCUUAUACCACAAAUACCACAUAUCUUGAGAGAAGGCAUAUACCAUCACUGCCUUGGUAAGGAUCCAGAAAUACCACAAAAGAGAGAUUUAGAGAGUCAUACAAGGAAUUUCUGAGUUUUAUUUGAAAAUCUACAAAAACUCCAGAGCUAUAGCUGAUCAAGAAUAAGAGACAUGGCACUUGGCUAGACUGUUCUAUCUUUUAACUACUCAAGACAGAAGUGACGGUUACAAGUCCCAUGGUGAAAGGUAAAGUAAGUAAGUUUUAGUUCUUGAUAGUUUACUCUAACUCAGAGAUGAGAUCUUAUUUAAAAGCAUGUGUACCGUCAAAAUUUUAAGAUAUUGCAACAACUUCUGAUCCAUUGUUGAGUCUAUCCUUGCUCAGGGACGAGCAAGAGGUAAGCUUGGGGGAGUUUGUUGACGGUCCUUAAGUAUCAAAUUUAAUUAUCAAAUAAACAAAGAAAAGGAUCCGUUUUAUCUGACAGAAUUCCACGAGUUUUGGUGUUUGUCUAUUUCUGCAGGGGGUUAUCAGGAAAUAUGGAAGAAAGGCCCACACGUCGGGAUUACAUAGAGAUAUCAACGUGCCGCGCAAUUAUUUUACAUCUAGAAGACUCCAGAAGCCACGGGAAGGAAGCGGAGGCCGAACGGAGCCAGGACCUGGGCGCCUGCCAAAGUCCUUAGGGCGCCCGCCCUGCUACAGUGGCCAAUCACGUUCAACCUCGUGGAUUAUGCUCCACCGACCUAAAGGAUCAAGACUAACCGUUCAAUCAAUGUGAGUUUGAUCCAACGGCCCAGGUUCACUUGAGGGGACUAUAUAACCAGACCCCCUGGCCCCUGAAGGAGGCACCCCUUGAUCAUUACUCAUUAUUCAUAGACAGAGCAAAAGCUAGGGUUUAGAGAUGAGAGCUCUCCUCUCUUCUCUAAACUAGAGUAGAUCUAGAUAGUAGCAAGAUGGAGAGCGAAGGAGGAUUAGAGGAGAGGCCGGCCUGUCGGUUCUUCCUCCGGUUGUACUUUGUCAUGAUCAAGCUCUAAUCAAGCUUGCUCAUGGGAUGACUCUGGUAAUCUACUUCUAAUUCAUUAUGCAAUUACUAAUUAUGUAUGUUCUGGUUCACAACUCUUUUGAGUACUUUAAUCUAUAGGACGCUAUAGGUGAGAGUUGUAGUAUAGGUAUAAGCGUGGUGCUUAGACCUAGAUUACUUGUGGAUAUACCCUGUCUAGCUGGAUCGUGUGGGAGGCCGCGUAGGUGACAGUUACUAGUCCACCUCUCGUUAGCAGGAUGGGUAGAGUUUAUCGGCCUAAGGAUAAGCAUCCUUUGUGGUGUACUCUUAUCACGUGGUUCGUCCCAGACAUAGACAUACCCCUUUGAAGUAGAGAAACCAUAGUUAUACUCUCUAUUCUGCUACCAUCGCCUAUAUAUUAGAUUGCUCUAUUCUCUAUUCCCAUAUUAUCACUCACUGUUAUCUUACCUUUAAUAUUGUUCUUAUUUAAUUCUAUCAUCUUUCCUAUUUACACUUAUCUAUCUAUCCUGGUUAAGUUAGAGCGUAGUUGGUUCUCCCGUUUCCCUGUGGAUACGAUAAAACCUUUAACCGGGUAAAAGCUUCAACGGUAUCCGUGCUCUUGCAGAUUAUCUGUGUGCGUAUAAAUACCAUAGUACACUCUAGUGCCAUGCUGGGGAUGACAACCUAGUAUUCAAGUGGUGUUAGCAAGUGUCAACAAGCAUUUUUGGCGCCGUUGCCGGGGAAACGGUUGCUGAGUUGACUACGAACUAGCUUAAUCAUUUUCUAAAAAAUAAAAAUAAAAAAAAUAUAUUUUCCUUUUAUCCUUUGCCUCAUCUCUGCUAAUCUUUCUUCUUAUCUAAUCCUUGAUCUCUGGUCUAUCAUGAAUUCAAACAUGUCUAUCUAUGAAUUUCAUAGACCUACGGGCACACAUCUCGAACCACCAAAAUCUUCAAAGCCUAUCAUAGCAUCUAGUUUUGAGAUAGACCCCGAAUACAUAGAAUUUGUUCAAAAACAACCUUUCUCAGGAGAAGGUGAGGAAAACCCAUACACACACCUAAGAGAGUUUUAUCGAGUAUGUGACCUCCUUCGCAUAGAAGGCAUGUCCGAUGAGACCCUCAAAUGGAAGCUCUUUCCGUUCUCUUUAAUAGAAAAAGCUAGACAUUGGUACAAACUCAAAGUAGGGAGUGUUCAUGGAGAUUGGAAGGAGUUACAUAAUAGUUUUCUUUUAAAAUAUUUUCCAAUCCCUAAAGUGGCGGAACUUCGGCGUGAGAUUCUUUCUUUUAGACAACUGGAAGAAGAAUCUCUUGGCAAAUCAUGGGACCGCUUUAUUAACCUUACUCUCACUGGCCCAAAGCUUUUUAUUCCAGAAGAAGUUCUUCUAAUUCACUUUUUUGAGGGCCUUAGUGGGGAAAAUAAGCAAACCUUGAAUACAGCCUCUAGAGGAUCCUUCUAUCACCUACGUGCUAGUGAAGCUUGGAAUUUGAUUGAUUUAUUAAGUGGAAAGUCUCCUAGCUUUUAUAUCCCUGAGAAAGAGACAGAACCAGUUCCUAGACAAGAAGAAGAAGUUUUGAUAGCCAGAUCACAACCACUUCAAUUCCAAACUUUAGCUAUCAAUCCUAAACCAUCAAUACCCCAAAAUUCUCCAAGGGAGGAAGGAAUUCCGACCUUAAAUCUUUCAGAUGCUGAUGGUUUAGACUUUUGGUUCCAUAAGAGACCUUCAAGCAGGGAUAAUUCAAAUCCUCGCAAUAAUGGUUCUCUUAGAGAAUGUCCUAGUUCCUGUUAUGAAGAAGUCGAGGAUGACACAUCAAGUAAAGGAGAGCUAAGCCAUAUUGAAAAUUCUAACACCUCCCCUUUCCUGAUCACAAGUUCAAAAUGGCUAGAAUGUGUAGAAUGGAUGGACAAGGAAGAAGCCUUAAUGAAUUCUGACUUUGGUUCAAUUUCAAAUGGUGAGUUCUUGACUCCCUUUGAAGAUGGGAUUCAUCCAACUAUAGAAGAGGACAUAAGUGAGACCAAUCCAAGAGGAACUCUGAACAUUCAGAUUGGAGACGAAGAUAACAUUAAUGAGCAUGGAAUUUAUUUCAUAGCCACUUUGUUUACUCCAUACUCAUAUGCGACAUCUUCCCAAUCUAUUGGUCUCUCCAACAUCACCACAUUUGAGAUUUCCAACCCCCUCUUCCUUUCUAGUUAUAAAAACUUUAAAAGGGCGGUUGUCGAUGCAUAUGUCUAUAAUAAAUAUUGCAGAUCUCAUUGAGUUGAUCUUGAUAUAGGUCAGCGUUGGAAGGGAAACCACUUCGUCGACAUAAAUUGAUGGUUUCCCAAGGACAAGCUUAGUGUCUUAAAAUAAGCACUGAUCAGAUCAUAACAUGAGCUUUUAAUUAUUUACAACAUUACCUGGUGUAUUGAGCAUAUAAGGAUAAUUGUAAAAAUAUUCCUUCGGGUAUUCUUGUCACUAACCUUUCUAGGAUUGGAACAAGAAGAUCAGAUGAAUGACAAGCAAGUACAAGGUAUGUCCAACCAAUCAUCAUGGAACACUGAAUUAAAUUCAUCCAAACUUGAAUUCUGCAAAAUUCAAGCUUGGGGGAGUACUUUACAUAAAAACAUCCUUUGCCAUGUUGCUAUGUUGGUUGUCCCUACCUUUAAGACAUGCUCAAUUUGUUAAAUACUAAUCACACUACUUCAUCUCCACUUGAGUAGAUUUCUAUAAAUGUUGUCAUGUUACCUUUGUCUAUUUACUAGUAAGUGUUAGUUUGGAAGUACUGCACAUACUUCUAUUGGCUUUUAAAUUAAGCUUGGUGCUUAGGUUAAACAGCCUUCCUUAAUCUGAUUAGACAUGGAGUCUAGUUCGGUUAUUGAACUAAAAACUUCUUGUGUAGACAUUGGUAUAUUUUUGUCGGACUAACCCCUGCAGAAAAACUUUCAAUAUCAAUUUGGGAAGCCCUGAGAUAAACUCACAUCAGAAACGAAGAGAGUGACACAUGAAGUUUAACAAUUUGCACAAGAAGGACAUAGCUCAUUCAUCAUAGAGAGAUGAUCCAUGGAGGGUGCCACAAACACGAUGCACAACCGCUAAGAAAGGAAAGCUUCCACAAGGUGAUACUGUACCAUCACUCUUCAAGCAAGAAAACAUCUUAAGGUACUUGACUAUCACUUUUAUAAGCUUCUCCUUGGUUCUGGCGUUCAUAUAAAUAAAAGAGACAAACAUGUAUGAUUUACAACUCUAGAUUAACCAACCCAACUGAUUCAACAUGUUUAGUCCUUUAAUCCUUGUUCUUAGUACUACCUCCAUGAUCCCACACUCCUAAUCAAAUGAGCUAAAAUGUUACACAUUCAAUCAUUGUGAGAUAUAAAGAAAAAGACAUAUACAUAGAUAGAUUAUCUUUCCAUAAGGUUGAGCGAUCUGAUUUGACAAAUGUUAUAAGUGCUACACUCAUGAACUUUUCAUCCAUCAACUUUGUCUUGCUCACUAUGCUUAGGGUUAGAGAAGAACAAAUACACUUUAGGUUCUGUUGGUGUUUUCCACCAACAGGACCCAUGCACUUGAUCUCUGCCUUGUCUCUAUGAGCAGGAACACUUUGAGCAAAACACGGAGGAGUUUUAUAACUCUCAGACUCUACCAAGUGAAGGACUUGGAUCUACGAGCACAAACACACUGAGCAGGUUACUGCCAACGCCGCACUUCGAACUGCUGGGCAAACGAAGAACAUAGGUGACACCGUAUCAAGAGGUGUAGACGUCAAGGUCCGCACCUGAAUCAAAUGACGCACUUAAAGAAUGAACAUGGUGAGAAGUCUUGUUAAGAAGACUUAAAACAUUGAACCCUCGCUAGAUUACUUGUUAAGAAGUCUUGUUAUACGUGGUGCUUAGACCUAGAUUACUUGUGGAUAUCCCCUGUCUAGCUGGAUCGUGUGGUAGGCCGUGUAGGUGACAGUUACGUUGGUCCUUUGUAGUCCACCUCUCGUUAGCAGGAUGGGUAGAGUUUAUCGGCCUAAGGAUAAGCAUCCUUUGUGGUGUACUCUUAUCACGUGGUUCG